CACAAAUACGUUUGAAAUUAAUGUAAAAAUCAGUAAUCAAAUUCAAGGUUUGGGUUCUGUUCUUCUAAUUGCAGAAUUGAUCUGAUUUCCCGUGGCUGUAGUAAGUAGAUCUACAGCUACAGUUACUAGAAGUGGAGGGAAUACACUCUGUGAACACAGCAAAAGGAGCUCAAUGAAUCCGGCUUCAUGCAGUGAUGAAACCUUUGGUGAGAGAGAACAUAUGUCAUCAGAGCACAAAGGUUUCUGCUGGAGAAUAUAUUAAACUGGUGAGUCCAUCCAAAUUGUCCCUGUCUAUACAAGCGAUUCUAUCAUCAUUAUCAGACACUUCAGCUUCUCUCUUUGCUGUGGUUCGAGCUGAAAUUGCCUUUAAUAACUUGCAGAAAGGUGCAAGCACCUCAAGCAGCUCCUUGAGAUUAGGUAAGUGCGAGAAAGACCUGAAAAAAUGCACAUACUCAGUAUAGAUUUCAGAAAGUCCUAAAUGCCUGCCUUUGUCUGUCUCCCAACUAGAGUUAGGCAAAAGGAAUAAUCUGUCUUCCCAGCUGUUGGAGAUGGGAGCAACAGCUGCUAGACAGAGCAAUUUACAUAGCAGAGAAACGUCCCACCCUUCCUUACCAUGCAGAGCCAUUGCUAGAGAUAAAGUAACUGGAAGAAAUCUGUCCUUGCACCAGGCCGGCAGGAGACUCUGGCAGCCUGCAGGUAUUUAUCACCCUCUGUAGAUCUGAAAGGCGUAUGCAGCGUGGGUAAGCAGCUUAUCACAUUCCUGCAAAGUCACUGGGGCUGCCAACUGCUGGGUUUGAAAGUGGUUUUUGACAACAGCUGCAGUACCUGAGGAGUACUGAUCUCCAUAUGGCAAGGGCUGUGCUCUUG
Molecule: long non-coding RNA, 867 nt
Filed under: Parus major (Great Tit)
Lineage: Eukaryota; Metazoa; Chordata; Aves; Passeriformes; Paridae
Description: lncRNA (ENSPMJG00000008957.1)
Source: RNAcentral